GGAAUAUAAGAAUCCGUUUUUUAACUUUUAACUAAAGAAGGUAAGAACCGACUAUUAAAUAAGAGUUUUAAGAACUGGUUCUUAACUUUUUUAAUUAAAAAUUAAGAGACGGGUUUUUAUAUUCC
Molecule: non-coding RNA, 125 nt
Organism: Brassica napus (rape)
Lineage: Eukaryota; Viridiplantae; Streptophyta; Magnoliopsida; Brassicales; Brassicaceae
Source: Rfam